Molecule: ribosomal RNA, 585 nt
Filed under: Pseudomonas sp. StFLB033
Lineage: Bacteria; Pseudomonadati; Pseudomonadota; Gammaproteobacteria; Pseudomonadales; Pseudomonadaceae
Also listed under: 5 other names
Description: bacterial SSU rRNA
Rfam family: Bacterial small subunit ribosomal RNA
Source: RNAcentral
ACGGGUGAGUAAUGCCUAGGAAUCUGCCUGAUAGUGGGGGAUAACGUCCGGAAACGGACGCUAAUACCGCAUACGUCCUACGGGAGAAAGCAGGGGACCUUCGGGCCUUGCGCUAUCAGAUGAGCCUAGGUCGGAUUAGCUAGUUGGUGAGGUAAAGGCUCACCAAGGCGACGAUCCGUAACUGGUCUGAGAGGAUGAUCAGUCACACUGGAACUGAGACACGGUCCAGACUCCUACGGGAGGCAGCAGUGGGGAAUAUUGGACAAUGGGCGAAAGCCUGAUCCAGCCAUGCCGCGUGUGUGAAGAAGGUCUUCGGAUUGUAAAGCACUUUAAGUUGGGAGGAAGGGUCGUUACCUAAUACGUGACGAUUUUGACGUUACCGACAGAAUAAGCACCGGCUAACUCUGUGCCAGCAGCCGCGGUAAUACAGAGGGUGCAAGCGUUAAUCGGAAUUACUGGGCGUAAAGCGCGCGUAGGUGGUUUGUUAAGUUGAAUGUGAAAUCCCCGGGCUCAACCUGGGAACUGCAUCCAAAACUGGCAAGCUAGAGUAGGGCAGAGGGUGGUGGAAUUUCCUGUGUAGCGGUG